Dipodomys ordii (Ord's kangaroo rat) is the source of this 127-nucleotide small nucleolar RNA. The record is from Ensembl. NCBI's taxonomy places the organism in Eukaryota, Metazoa, Chordata, Mammalia, Rodentia, Heteromyidae.
AGUACCUAGUGUGUUUGUUUAAUUUGUAACAAAGCCCUUACGGACAGGUGCAGACAGUAAAUCCUCUUCUGCAAACCAGUACUCAUUGUUGAGUAUGAGAUUUUUGAUACAAGUAAGAAGAAAUAUA